RNAcentral lists this ribosomal RNA (301 nucleotides) under uncultured bacterium. RNAcentral's name for it is "partial 16S ribosomal RNA". It matches the Rfam family "Bacterial small subunit ribosomal RNA", at positions 509 to 807 of the family's 1533-position model. The record is from RNAcentral.
CAGUCGCCGCGGUAAUACGGAGGGUGCAAGCGUUAAUCGGAAUUACUGGGCGUAAAGCGCACGCAGGCGGUUUGUUUAGUCAGAUGUGAAAUCCCCGAGCUUAACUUGGGAACUGCAUUUGAAACUGGCAAGCUAGAGUCUUGUAGAGGGGGGUAGAAUUCCAGGUGUAGCGGUGAAAUUCGUAGAGAUCUGGAGGAAUACCGGUGGCGAAGGCGGCCCCCUGGACAAAGACUGACGCUCAGGUGCGAAAGCGUGGGGAGCAAACAGGAUUAGAUACCCGGGUAGUCCCUGUCUCUUAUAC